UGGCUUGCAAGGGGAAGUGGACAAAUUGUUGAUGGUGAUAAAUCAAUUGUGUAUAGUCACAAAGACCUUACUCAGCAAGGGUGAUUAUCCAGUUGUGUAUUUAGGAAGAUUUUGUAUGGUGCUAUUGGUAGGUGGGUUUGGGGCUUACCCAAAGAUUUUCUGUAUUUUCCAGCCAUUGACUUGUGAUCAUUUGCAGUCUUCACAUUAUUCUGUAUUAACAUAGUUAUGUUGUUGCAUAGGUUUUAACUUGCAGGACUAACUUGUCCCAAUUAUAAUAAUAUCG
Molecule: unclassified non-coding RNA, 283 nt
Filed under: Hevea brasiliensis (rubber tree)
Lineage: Eukaryota; Viridiplantae; Streptophyta; Magnoliopsida; Malpighiales; Euphorbiaceae
Source: RNAcentral